Molecule: ribosomal RNA, 253 nt
Filed under: uncultured bacterium
Lineage: Bacteria
Description: partial 16S ribosomal RNA
Rfam family: Bacterial small subunit ribosomal RNA
Source: RNAcentral
UACGGAGGGUGCAAGCGUUAUCCGGAAUCACUGGGUUUAAAGGGUGCUUAGGCGGCUUAAUAAGUCAGAGGUGAAAGGCUGUGGCUCAACCAUGGGAUUGCCUUUGAUACUGUUAGGCUUGAAUCAGGCUGAGGUUGGCAGAAUGUGGCAUGUAGCGGUGAAAUGCAUAGAUAUGCCAUAGAAUACCGAUUGCGAAGGCAGCUGACGGGCCCUUGAUUGACUCUGAGGCACGAAAGCGUGGGGAGCGAACAGG